RNAcentral lists this long non-coding RNA (9251 nucleotides) under Triticum aestivum (bread wheat). Its description in RNAcentral is "long non-coding RNA (TAES_LNC026875)". Lineage: Eukaryota; Viridiplantae; Streptophyta; Magnoliopsida; Poales; Poaceae. The record is from RNAcentral.
CUGGGCCUAAUACCAAACAGACAUCACAGCCAAGCCUAACAUCUAAGACCUGAGACCCCAACCUAGCCACUUGCCGGGUCUGGGGCACACACUGGUCCGGCGUGCUCUCAGAGGCCGCCGCCGCCAACUGCCACCGUUCCAUCUUCAGAACUGUACUGAUGCAUCAACCUUGCUCGGUCCAGCUAUCGUCGAUGCCACCACGGCGCCCAACGGCACGUCCUCCCUGCGCGCAAAUAGCUGAACACGUCGCGGUCGCCACUGAUACACCUCAGCGCCAUGCUGCCAAGUAUCACCAGCCGACACAACUUGAAGUCCUUGGAGGAUCUGUCGUGUGUAGCACCUGCCGACCAGGCAUGACCACGCGUAGCACCUGUCGGUCAGGCAUGACUUGACAUCUCCACCGAAGCUCCGUGUAAGACGAAGCCGCUCCACCUCCUGCCUCUGACUUCCAGCGCUGCUCCAGAAACGAUGCUCCCAAGCGAGAAACGACACCGCAGUGCCGCCAUCGUCCGAUUUGGAACACCAGAUCCUAGGGUUUCCCCCGGAGCAGCACGACUGGGUCGACAGUAGUUACAUGACGAUGCCUUCAUCAAGGUAACGGGGUAGAACACCGCCAUCGCCUGCCGUCGGCUCGAUUUUCAUCGGCAACCAUGUCUCCGCAACUCGAAGCCGGGACAAGAUGAUGGAUCUCGAGAUCCGAUCACCAAGCUUCUGGUCAGCCACCGCCGGCGAAGAAGAUGACCACCACCACUGGCUACACCGGCCAGAACAGAUCUGCCAUGGAUGCCGCCAAGCAGUCCACCGGGCCCUCGACGCCGCCGCCGAUCUAAAGCCGGAUGAUAUGCCGCCGAAGACCGCAUCGCAUCGCCGCCCGAUCCAGGCCAGCCGCCGCAGCAGCCGCCCGUGGCCCGAGGCAGGGCCAACCGCCGCCGCCGUCGAAGCCAACGCCGUCGCUUCUAGAUCGGCCGCACCUCCACGCAUGUUGGGGUCCCGCCACCCCUGAGACGCGGGAGGGAGGAAGAGCCCCCGCCACCGCCGUCAGCCUCCGGGUGCAAGCCGGCGGCGUCCUCCGGCGGCGGCGGGAGGAGGGGAGGAGGAUGGGCUAGGCCCCGGCGGCGGUUAGGGUUGGGGAGCCCGAGUCGCCUGAGCGGGGGACGACCCGAGCGGCUACAGUUGGGUGUGCUCCAUAUGACAUAGAAAUCUAAGUUCAUCAACAAGUGUAUAUGGUGAAUUCAAGAAGACCUGGGAGUGGAUCUAAUGGUGUCCUAAUAUCAUAAUAUGAACAAAUGGAGUUCUGGGAAAUGCUAACAUUUUCGAACUGCCAACAUGACUGAACGAUUUGUCUUUCUUUGCCUACACUACUAGAGAAAAGCUUACCCGUAGCGCUUGUUUUUGUGCUACCAGUAGCGCGGGUACCAGCGCUACUGCUACAACGCUACAUCUAUUUUCUAGCAGUAGCGUGUUUAUAGGCCAGCGCUACUGGUAAGUUCAACUACUAGUAGCGCGUUUUUAGGCCAGCACUACUGCUAACAUUUAUGUUUUCUUUUUAAUAUUUUGGUGUUGUACAUGUUUAAACAGAUAUAUCUUUUAUACAAUAACAACUCAUCAUGAACUAGUCUGUUUAAAUAGUAUAUUCAUUACCAGUAGUCAUCAUCACCAAACAAUGUUCGUCAAUGGGACAUCAUAUAUAUAACAAGUUGGUCACUAGUCAUAAUCACAACUCCUCAUCCUCCUCAUUAACUCUAACACAUUAUAGCACAUAAUAACACAUUCUACCUAGGACCUACUCCUCUCAUAGGACCUACUCUACCCUCUCUUAGGUAAAAUAUCAUAAAACAAGAUAGCAUUGACUCUUCAUUAAGGAAACUGAACUCUCCAUAAUGAAGAACGGAGAUCAUCCUGUCUCCGAGUCUUGGCCUACGCACAAUGUUGCUUCCAAGUAGCUCUCUACGAUGGUUGAAACAUUUUUUCCAAUCAUUUAUUAUCAUGGCUUCCUCGCUUUUAGAAAUCCGGUAUGGACAGGAGUGAUGUGGAUAGUGUGGCUGACCUGGCCGUGGUGGCCGUAAGCUCAUAACUUCAACGCGACCUCUUGGCAACAUCAGAUGAGGCACACAAUCCAUCGGGAUUUUCUGUUCAAAAACAUAGUAAUAACUUUGUAGUUAGCAAUGUAGUUAGCAAUGUUCAAAGAUGCACGGAUGUCGUAAUAGUAGAAAAUCUUACCAUGAUAUCUCCAUUGAUGUUACCGUAGCACACCGCGUGCACUAGUGGCACAUAUGGACCAUAAUUUUGAGGAAUUCGAUAAUAGCUAUUGUAAUUCUCAAGAUCAGUAAAAAAAGUGAUAAGACCAUCUUUCUCCUUAUAAGUUGAUUGUGCUUCAUCAUUGUAGUAGUAGGUUCUGUCUACCAUCUUCCGUACAUUUUUUGAAGAAUGGAAAUAAGUUGUCAAUGGAAAUAAGCUGUCAAAUAUUUUGAAAUUAACAAUAUAAAUUACUUAGUAAAUAUGUUUAAGAAACUCACACAGCGGUAGAACUGGAAGCUUGUCAACAAGGACCCAAAUGGUCAUAUCAUUUUUGUCGAUGUCAGGAUCACCAAGAUCGAAGGUGAGAAGCAUACCCUCAUGAAAAUCAUACGCCUUGGAAAGGGCUUCCCAAUCCGGGCAACCAAAAUUGGAUGAGUUCACAGAAUUGUAUAGUUUUACAGCAAAAUCAUAACCAUGAUGGGUCCUUAGUUGAAUUAUCUUUGUCUCCGUGCUUUCAUGAUCUUCAAAACCCAUCUUCUCCAAGACAUAGCGUCUUGCAUGGCAUGGGAUAAGCUAGUCGAAUUGUAAAAGACGGAAAUUACACGUUGAAGAAGCAGAGAAGUCUUGCAAAAAUAACAUAAAAAACUUGUCAUUGUUGCGUACCGUAUCAACAUCGAAGGUCUCUUGGAGCUUGAUGCUGAAGCGCCGACCUUCUACCAGGUGAGGCCUGUCGCACAUACCGCGCUUAUCUUCGCAGUAAUCGCACAUAGCGAAUUCCCUUUCGUCGUCAGACAUUUCCUAAUAGGUAAUUAAUAAUCCAUCAUGAAUACAUAUGUAGUAGUUUGUAGCACAAACCGCGCUCAUCUUUUGCAUUCAAUAAGCAAAUAACUAAUAGGUAAUUAAUAAUCCAUCAUCGAAUACAUAUAUAGUAGUUUGUAGCAAAGAUCAUCAUAUAAUAAGACUAAUACAUCUCGAAUAAUAGCUCCUCUAGGUUCAGUGGGCCGCGGUGGACACCCAAAUAGAAGGAACCAUCACUGGAUCAUAGCUCCGGUGAGAUCUCCAAAUAAUCUGCCAGGUAUUGGAGAACCGGCCGUUUGCCAACGCAACCAAGUAGCGCUGGACGUGCGCGUUCUCCUCCGUGACACGGUGUUGAACCACCUGCGUGGGGGACUGAAGCCUCUCCACCGAUGCAGGCCCACGUGACCGCCACCAAAGAAGCUCCGGGUCGACGACGGGUUGGCUCCUCACUAAGCUGCGCUCACGAGAAGGUAGCACAACCCAGUAACAGCCCGGCAGAGCCCAGUCCCGGACAUGGCCCCUCGGCUCAAGCAGGAGUCCUCCGUCGAGUCGACGACGAGGAUGCGGGAUAGGCAUCGUCGACGUCGAGAACAAAAUGCUUAAUUAUGAAAACAAAAUUAAUAAACACUUAGCAAAAUUUGACAUGACCUCUGCUAAAAACAGGACCAAUCGAGCGCCUGAAAUUUGCCAGAACGUAAACGAAUCGACAUUUCUGGCAAAACAUAGGCCACUCGGAAACAUAUGACAUUGUCCAAAAUGUGACAUGUUCAAAAUAUGACAUGUCCACUGCAAAUUUGCAUAAAACAGGAAAAAUUGCUUUAACUAAAAAAAUAACAACAAUUGCUUUAACUAAAAAAAUACCCAGAAUUCUGUUAACUACACCUAAAACAACUAAAACACCUAAAAUUCUUUUAACCACACCUAAAACAACUAAACCACCUAAAAUUCUAUUAACUACACCUAAAACAACUAAAACAACUAAAACACCUAAAACAAAUUCAACAUUAUUCUAAGAACACCUACAUUAUUCUAAGAACCUACCUUUUUAACUAAAACAGCUACAAAUUUAACUAAAACACCUAAAAAUUCAACUAAAGCACCUACAUUAUUUAACUAAAACACCUACAAAUUCAACUAAAACACCUAAAAAUUAACUACUCUCUAAUAACUAUAACUAGGGAGGGAGGGAGGAGGAGGAAGGAGGGAGGAGUAUACCUCUCGGUGGAGGAGGGCCNNNNNNNNNNNNNNNNNNNNNNNNNNNNNNNNNNNNNNNNNNNNNNNNNNNNNNNNNNNNNNNNNNNNNNNNNNNNNNNNNNNNNNNNNNNNNNNNNNNNNNNNNNNNNNNNNNNNNNNNNNNNNNNNNNNNNNNNNNNNNNNNNNNNNNNNNNNNNNNNNNNNNNNNNNNNNNNNNNNNNNNNNNNNNNNNNNNNNNNNNNNNNNNNNNNNNNNNNNNNNNNNNNNNNNNNNUAGGACGCGGGGGCGGCGGACGGAUCGGGGGACGACUGGGAUUCGAUCUGGUGUGAGCGUGUGAGUGUGAGUGAGGGGAGGGGUGGUGCGCGGGCUGGCGCGGGGGGAAGCAGAGAGGUGGGCUUAGCGGCAGUGCGGGGUAGGUGGCCCAGCGCUAUAGCUAAAGCUGCAACGGGGGCCCGAGAGCGUGGCCCAUUAGCAGUAGCGCUGGCUGUGAAAUCCAGCGCUACUGCUAACAUGCACUUGUAGCGCUUGUGCUGGCCGGAGCUACUGCUAAAUAGCAGUAGCGAUGAGUAUCUAACCAACGCUACUACUAAAUGUCUACCUAUAAGCAUUUUCCUAGUAGUGCUAUAUGAUUAACACACAUAAAAUGAUUAUGAAUUUGGAGGUUGCUCUUACUAGAACCUUGAAACAAUGGUAUUGUCAAGGUGCUGGGAGUUAAAAAGUAUGAUUCACUUUUUUUCACACAUCUUCUUUGGCCACACCCUAAGCCUGUUAUACGUCUUCAUGUUCUUCAAUGGACAAAACAGAUAAUAAAAAGAAAGGGAAGGGAAAAUAGUAGUUCUCGUAAGAUGUGUAUAUCAUCAAUUGGUCCAUGCCUCGUAUGUCUGCGAGAUAUUGGAUUUUAAGUUGAUUACCUGAUAUAUGUCUCUUGUUUUUAAAUACUGCAUUUUUAUAGAAGGAUGACCCCCGGCCUCUGCAUCUGGACGAUGCAUACGACCACUUUAUUAAUUAUUCUCAUAAGACUUUACAAAGUCAUAGAACAGUAAAACUAAAGUCGCCGUCUAAGCAAAAAAUUGUCGCUACACCUAUCCAGUUGAUGAAGGGGCACAAAUAGCCCGUGCCUAAUACCAAACAGACAUCGCAACCAAGCCUAACAUCUAAGACCUGAGACCCCAACCUAGCCACUUGCCGGGUCUAGGGCACACACUAGUCUGGCGUGCCCUCAGAGGCCGCCGCCACCAACUACCACCGCUCCAUCUUCAGAACUGUACUAAUGCAUCAACCUUGCUCGGUCUAGCUAUCAUCGGCGCCACCACGACGCCCAACGGCACCUCCUCCAUGCAUGCAAACAGCUCAGCAUGUCGCGGUCGCCAUUGAUACACCUCAGUGCCAUGCUGCCAGGUAUCACAAGCCGACACAGCUUGAAGUCCUUGGAAGAUCUGUCGUGCGUAGCACCUGCUGACCAGGCAUGACAAAGCGUAGCACCUGUCGGCCAGGCAUGCUCGACAUCUCCAUCGAAGCUCCGUGCAAGAGGAAGCCACUCCACCUCCUGCCUCUGACUUCCAGCGCUGGUCCACAAACGAUGCUCCCAGGAGAGAAAUGACACCGCAGUGCCGCCAUCGUCCGAUCUGGAACACCAGAUCCUAGGGUUUCCCCCGGAGCAAAAGGAGUGGGUCGACAGUAGUUACACGACGAUGCCUUCAUCAAGGUAACGGGGUAGAACGCCGCCAUCGCCUGCCGUCGGCUCGGUUUUCAUCGGCAACCAUGUCUCCGCAACUCGCAGCCGGGACAAGAUGAUGGAUCUCGAGAUCCGAUCACCAAGCUUCUGGCCGGCCACCGCCGACGAAGAAGAUGACCACCACCACUGGCUACACCGGCCAUAACAGAUCUGCCAUGGAUGCCGCCAAGCAGUCCACCAGGCCCUCCACGCUGCCGCCAAUCUAAAGCCAUAUGACAUGCCGCCGAAGACCGCAUCGCACCGCCGCCCGAUCUAGGCCAGCCGCCGUCGCAGCCGCCCGUGGGCCGAGGCAGGGCCGACCGCAGCCGCCGUCGAAGCCAACACCGUCGCUUCUAGAUCGGCCGCACCUCCACGCAUGUUGGGGUCUCGCCACCCCUGUGACGCGUGAGGGAGGAAGAUCUCCCGUCACCGCCGUCGGCCUCCGGGCGCAAGCUGGCGGCGUCCUCCGGCGGCAGCGGGAGGAGGGGAGGAGGAUGGGCUAGGCCUCGGCGGCGGCUAGAGUUGGGGAGCUCGAGUCGCCCGAGCGGGGGACGACCCGAGCGGCUAGAGUUGGGUGUGCUCCAUAUGACAUAGAAAUCUAAGUUCAUCAACAAGUGUAUAUGGUGAAUUCAAGAAGACCUGGGAGUGGAUCUAAUGGUGUCCUAAUAUCAUAAUAAGAACAAAUGGAGUUCUGGGAAAUGCUAACAUUUUCGAACUGCCAACAUGACUGAACGAUUUGUCUUUCUUUGCCUAUAUGAUUAACAUACAUAAAAUGAUUAUGAAUUUGGAGGUUGCUCUUACUAGAACCUUGAAACAAUGGUAUUGUCAAGGUGCUGGGAGUUAAAAAGUAUGAUUCACUUUUUUCCGCACAUCUUCUUUGGCUACACCCUAGGUCUGUUAUACGUCUUCAUGUUCUUCAAUGGACAAAACAGAUAAUAAAAAGAAGGGGAAGGGAAAAUAGUAGUUCUCGUAAGAUGUGUAUAUCAUCAAUUGGUCCAUGCAUCGUAUGUCUGCGAGAUAUUGGAAUUUAAGUUGAUUACCUGAUAUAUGUCUCUUGUUUUUAAAUACUGUAUUUUUCUUAAAAAAGGAGGAUGACCCCCGGCCUCUGCAUCUGGACGAUGCAUACGAACACUUUAUUAGUUAUUCUCAUAAGACCUUACAGAGUCAUACCACAGUAAGACUAAAGCCGCCGUCUAAGCAAAAAAUUGUCGCUACACCUAUCCAGUUGAUGAAAGGGCGCAGAUAGCCCGGGCCUAAUACCAAAUAGACAUCGCAGACAAGCCUAACAUCUAAGACCUGAGACCCCAACCUAGCCACUUGCCGGGUCUGGGGCACACACUGGUCCGGCGUGCUCUCAGAGGCCGCCGCCACCAACUGCCACCGCUCCAUCUUCAGAACUGUACUGAUGCAUCAACCUUGCUCGGUCUAGCUAUCGUCGGCGUCACCACGGCGCCCAACGGCACCUCCUCCCUGCGCGCAAACAGCUGAGCACGUCGCGGUCGCCAUUGAUACACCUCAACGCCAUGCUGCCAGGUAUCACAAGCCGACACAACUUGAAGUCCUUGGAAGAUCUGUCGUGCGUAGCACCUGCCGACCAGGCAUGACAAAGCGUAGCACCUGUCGGCCAGGCAUGCUCGACAUCUCCAUCGAAGCUCCGUGCAAGAGGAAGCCACUCCAUCUCCUGCCUCUGACUUCCAGCGCUGCUCCGCAAACGAUGCUCCCAGGAGAGAAAUGACACCGCAGUGCCGCCAUCGUCCGAUCUGGAACACCAGAUCCUAGGGUUUCCCCCGGAGCAAAAGGAGUGGGUCGACAGUAGUUACACGACGAUGCCUUCAUCAAGGUAACGGGGUAGAACGCCGCCAUCGCCUGCCGUCGGCUCGGUUUUCAUCGGCAACCAUGUCUCCGCAACUCGCAGCCGGGACAAGAUGAUGGAUCUCGAGAUCCGAUCACCAAGCUUCUGGCCGGCCACCGCCGACGAAGAAGAUGACCACCACCACUGGCUACACCGGCCAUAACAGAUCUGCCAUGGAUGCCGCCAAGCAGUCCACCAGGCCCUCGACGCUGCCGCCAAUCUAAAGCCAUAUGACAUGCCGCCGAAGACCGCAUCGCACCGCCGCCCGAUCUAGGCCAGCCGCCGUCGCAGCCGCCCGUGGGCCGAGGCAGGGCCGACCGCAGCCGCCGUCGAAGCCAACACCGUCGCUUCUAGAUCGGCCGCACCUCCACGCAUGUUGGGGUCUCGCCACCCCUGUGACGCGUGAGGGAGGAAGAUCUCCCGUCACCGCCGUCGGCCUCCGGGCGCAAGCUGGCGGCGUCCUCCGGCGGCAGCGGGAGGAGGGGAGGAGGAUGGGCUAGGCCUCGGCGGCGGCUAGAGUUGGGGAGCUCGAGUCGCCCGAGCGGGGGACGACCCGAGCGGCUAGAGUUGGGUGUGCUCCAUAUGACAUAGAAAUCUAAGUUCAUCAACAAGUGUAUAUGGUGAAUUCAAGAAGACCUGGGAGUGGAUCUAAUGGUGUCCUAAUAUCAUAAUAUGAACAAAUGGAGUUCUGGGAAAUGCUAACAUUUUCGAACUGCCAACAUGACUGAACGAUUUGUCUUUCUUUGCCUAUAUGAUUAACAUACAUAAAAUGAUUAUGAAUUUGGAGGUUGCUCUUACUAGAACCUUGAAACAAUGGUAUUGUCAAGGUGCUGGGAGUUAAAAAGUAUGAUUCACUUUUUUCCGCACAUCUUCUUUGGCUACACCCUAGGUCUGUUAUACGUCUUCAUGUUCUUCAAUGGACAAAACAGAUAAUAAAAAGAAGGGAAGGGAAAAUAGUAGUUCUCGUAAGAUGUGUAUAUCAUCAAUUGGUCCAUGCAUCGUAUGUCUGCGAGAUAUUGGAAUUUAAGUUGAUUACCUGAUAUAUGUCUCUUGUUUUUAAAUAUUGCAUUUUUCUUAAAAAAGGAGGAUGACCCCCGGCCUCUGCAUCUGGACGAUGCAUACGAACACUUUAUUAAUUAUUCUCAUAAGACCUUACAGAGUCAUACAACAGUAAGACUAAAGCCGCCGUCUAAGCAAAAAAUUGUCGCUACACCUAUCCAGUUGAUGAAAGGGCGCAGAUAGCUCGGGCCUAAUACCAAAUAGACAUCGCAGCCAAGCCUAACAUCUAAGACCUGAGACCCCAACCUAGCCACUUGCCGGGUCUGGGGCACACACUGGUUCGGCGUGCUCUCAGAGGCCGCCGCCACCAACUGCCACCGCUCCAUCUUCAGAACUGUACUGAUGCAUCAACCUUGCUCGGUCUAGCUAUCGUCGGCGUCACCACGGCGCCCAACG